This is a long non-coding RNA of Tympanuchus pallidicinctus (lesser prairie-chicken), 2014 nucleotides long. RefSeq lists it as uncharacterized. The record is from RefSeq and is a predicted model, not a curated record. NCBI's taxonomy places the organism in Eukaryota, Metazoa, Chordata, Aves, Galliformes, Phasianidae. The transcript has 7 exons.
UUUAAGGGCUGUUUGCCACUGGGGAAGCUUUUCUUUCUGGAGAUCCUUUCUUGGUGGAGCUUCUCUGUGAGAACCUAGAAUCUUCUGAGAUAGAAUCCAGACCUGAAACACUGAAGAGAUUUGGGUGGAGCAGUGCUUUGGUUCUUCAGAGAUACAGCUUCCCUCUGUGGAUGAAGAGAGGCAGACCUUGCCUUCCAGGACAGCCGUUAGUGAGAUCUGGCAUAGCCUCCUGUGAAGGUGCUUGGUUCAUUCUGAGCACGAAGAGCUCCAGAAUAAAUCAGAGGGACUGAGCAGGUCUUCCUGAAACAAGCGUAUCUGCUCUGCGCAUUGCAUUCAUCCGACACAGUGAAUUCAAAGGUCUGCGUUUCUUCUGAAUCAACUUUCCAGAUAAGGAGGCCAGCAGGAGAGAGCCUGGCAUCCUGUGGCCCAGCCUCUAAGAUGAAUAGCACAGCUGACCCUUCUGGAUCCACCGCUGUUAACUGAGGAAAUCAAUGAUGUUAUCUCUGGAGAAGUCUCCUGGCAGUCAGUAAUUGGGUACCCACCCAUACCCUUGAUGGGGAAAACUCAAGGAAUACACUUCUGCAAGCUGGGAAGGACUUCUGCACGAGAUAACUAAAGAAAUGCUGCUUUUUCCUGCCCAUAACCAAGGAAGAUAUGAAAGCAAAUAUUUCAAGGUGAAUUGGAUGCUAAUAGAGAAGAGUUCCAAAGAGAAUAGUGGUGUUUCUGAUUUCUCUAUAACUAACUGCAGAAAGUGAGAACUGCAUCCUUUUUUAACAGCUGAGUGGGAUCUUAACACAGCUGUUAACUUGACAUGACUCGUGAAUAUAAAACUUCUCCUUGGUAACUGCUGAUUCUCAUUGUGCUGACUGAAAAACCAGCCACCAUGCUGCUUGGAUGAUAAUGGGCCUCCAGGCUUUCCUUGUCUGAUGAAGCUGAUCUCUAUUCCAGGUAAGAAGAAAAUGAUUGUGAAAUUGAUCCAUGCUGGGAGUGGGAGGAGGAGUUCUCUAUCCGGAUAAGUAACCUUAAUACUUUCAUCCACAAUUAAAUGUUACCAGUUAAUUUUGAAAAGCACAUUAAAUGGUUGGAAACAUCUCACUACAAUGAUUUCUAAAUAUCUUAGUUUUUUAAAAUCACUCCUGGCUGAGAAUAAUUGAUUCAGCCAAAUAAUGCCCAUUGCUUUUUUCUGUAUUUUUUUGGUCCUUUAUACUCUCAUCCAAACUGAACCUACUAAUAUCUGUGAGAAGUGAAUAACUUAUGUUUGUAUUUCUGUGCUGGAACCCAGAUUUACAUUUUGGCUGCAAUAAAUAACAAUCUUAUUCAUUUGAGCUUCUCAGCCCUCUUUUCAACGAGGAGAACACUUUUGUGGAGCUUGAGACCUUGGCUGUAUGUUUUGCUUUCCAAGGGAACUUAAAGAGCCAGUUGUUUUAAUACAUAGAGCAGAACAACUGCAGCUGACAUAGUGUUGGGCAGUGUUUGUUUUCCUCCUUUUGAAAAACUUUUGAGUUAUGUGCUUUCCUGCUGGGAUGAGCAUCUCCCACAAGGCCAUCUAUGAAAUCCUUAAGGUCAAACCUGCUGUUUCAACCUUCUGUGCUGUGUGAAUGGGUAUUACCAGGUGGAUUUAUUUUCAGAAGUCCAUAGCCCUUCCUUUCCUGCUGCCCUUGGGCAAGGCAAGCCAUAUGCCAGGAGGAGCUGACCACAGCCCAGGUUUUCUUAAAACACCUGGAUUUAAAACUGUUGGCAGGAACUCUGAAGAAGAUUUUUUUGAGACCUCAGUUUAAAGAGAAGAAGGUGAUGGGCUGCUGAAAAACCACUGCAGAAAGGAGUGAUGCUGAGCAAAUGGAGGUACACUGCUCAUGGUGGUAACUCAGGGACCAUAUUUGUUGUCUACAAUUCCAUUCAGAUCAGGGCAGCAUUCCUAUUUACAUACCAGAGGUGUCUUAAUUUAUUUUAAACACAAAGGAAAUCAGUGAAACUUACCUGAGGUGCAAAUGAGUAUAGGGUUUCUUGCUGCAAU